RNAcentral lists this ribosomal RNA (468 nucleotides) under uncultured bacterium. RNAcentral describes it as "partial 16S ribosomal RNA". It matches the Rfam family "Bacterial small subunit ribosomal RNA", at positions 28 to 507 of the family's 1533-position model. The record is from RNAcentral.
GACGAACGCUGGCGGCGUGCUUAACACAUGCAAGUCGAACGGAAAGGCCCUGCUUUUGUGGGGUGCUCGAGUGGCGAACGGGUGAGUAACACGUGAGUAACCUGCCCUUGACUUUGGGAUAACUUCAGGAAACUGGGGCUAAUACCGGAUAGGAGCUCCUGCUGCAUGGUGGGGGUUGGAAAGUUUCGGCGGUUGGGGAUGGACUCGCGGCUUAUCAGCUUGUUGGUGGGGUAGUGGCUUACCAAGGCUUUGACGGGUAGCCGGCCUGAGAGGGUGACCGGCCACAUUGGGACUGAGAUACGGCCCAGACUCCUACGGGAGGCAGCAGUGGGGAAUAUUGCACAAUGGGCGGAAGCCUGAUGCAGCAACGCCGCGUGCGGGAUGACGGCCUUCGGGUUGUAAACCGCCUUCGCCUGUGACGAAGCGUGAGUGACGGUAAUGGGUAAAGAAGCACCGGCUAUCUACGUG